RNAcentral lists this ribosomal RNA (275 nucleotides) under uncultured bacterium. Its description in RNAcentral is "partial 16S ribosomal RNA". It matches the Rfam family "Bacterial small subunit ribosomal RNA", at positions 60 to 339 of the family's 1533-position model. The record is from RNAcentral.
CGAGUCGAGCGGUAGAGUGACUUCGGUUGCUUGAGAGCGGCGCACGGGUAGUAACGCGUACAUGACCACCUUUAAGACUGGGAUAGCCCUGGGAAACUGGGAUUAAUACCGGAUGUGAUAAUAGAUAUAAGGAUUUAUUAUUAAAGUUACGGCGCUUAGAGAUGGAUGUGCGUCUGAUUAGCUAGUUGGUAGGGUAACGGCCUACCAAGGCUACGAUCAGUAGGGGCGUGAGAGCGUGACCCCCCACACAGGUACUGAGACACGGACCCGACUCC